This 2926-nucleotide ribosomal RNA is filed under the name Bacillus thuringiensis serovar kurstaki str. HD-1. Its description in RNAcentral is "bacterial LSU rRNA". It matches the Rfam family "Bacterial large subunit ribosomal RNA". The record is from RNAcentral. Lineage: Bacteria; Bacillati; Bacillota; Bacilli; Caryophanales; Bacillaceae.
GGUUAAGUUAGAAAGGGCGCACGGUGGAUGCCUUGACACUAGGAGUCGAUGAAGGACGGGACUAACGCCGAUAUGCUUCGGGGAGCUGUAAGUAAGCUUUGAUCCGAAGAUUUCCGAAUGGGGAAACCCACCAUACGUAAUGGUAUGGUAUCCUUAUCUGAAUACAUAGGGUAAGGAAGACAGACCCAGGGAACUGAAACAUCUAAGUACCUGGAGGAAGAGAAAGCAAAUGCGAUUUCCUGAGUAGCGGCGAGCGAAACGGAACAUAGCCCAAACCAAGAGGCUUGCCUCUUGGGGUUGUAGGACAUUCUAUACGGAGUUACAAAGGAACGAGGUAGACGAAGCGACCUGGAAAGGUCCGUCGUAGAGGGUAACAACCCCGUAGUCGAAACUUCGUUCUCUCUUGAAUGUAUCCUGAGUACGGCGGAACACGUGAAAUUCCGUCGGAAUCUGGGAGGACCAUCUCCCAAGGCUAAAUACUCCCUAGUGAUCGAUAGUGAAACCAGUACCGUGAGGGAAAGGUGAAAAGCACCCCGGAAGGGGAGUGAAAGAGAUCCUGAAACCGUGUGCCUACAAAUAGUCAGAGCCCGUUAACGGGUGAUGGCGUGCCUUUUGUAGAAUGAACCGGCGAGUUACGAUCCCGUGCGAGGUUAAGCUGAAGAGGCGGAGCCGCAGCGAAAGCGAGUCUGAAUAGGGCGUUUAGUACGUGGUCGUAGACCCGAAACCAGGUGAUCUACCCAUGUCCAGGGUGAAGUUCAGGUAACACUGAAUGGAGGCCCGAACCCACGCACGUUGAAAAGUGCGGGGAUGAGGUGUGGGUAGCGGAGAAAUUCCAAUCGAACCUGGAGAUAGCUGGUUCUCCCCGAAAUAGCUUUAGGGCUAGCCUUAAGUGUAAGAGUCUUGGAGGUAGAGCACUGAUUGGACUAGGGGUCCUCAUCGGAUUACCGAAUUCAGUCAAACUCCGAAUGCCAAUGACUUAUCCUUAGGAGUCAGACUGCGAGUGAUAAGAUCCGUAGUCAAAAGGGAAACAGCCCAGACCGCCAGCUAAGGUCCCAAAGUGUGUAUUAAGUGGAAAAGGAUGUGGAGUUGCUUAGACAACUAGGAUGUUGGCUUAGAAGCAGCCACCAUUUAAAGAGUGCGUAAUAGCUCACUAGUCGAGUGACUCUGCGCCGAAAAUGUACCGGGGCUAAAUACACCACCGAAGCUGCGGAUUGAUACCAAUGGUAUCAGUGGUAGGGGAGCGUUCUAAGGACAGUGAAGUCAGACCGUAAGGACUGGUGGAGUGCUUAGAAGUGAGAAUGCCGGUAUGAGUAGCGAAAGACGGGUGAGAAUCCCGUCCACCGAAUGCCUAAGGUUUCCUGAGGAAGGCUCGUCCGCUCAGGGUUAGUCAGGACCUAAGCCGAGGCCGACAGGCGUAGGCGAUGGACAACAGGUUGAUAUUCCUGUACCACCUCUUUAUCGUUUGAGCAAUGGAGGGACGCAGAAGGAUAGAAGAAGCGUGCGAUUGGUUGUGCACGUCCAAGCAGUUAGGCUGAUAAGUAGGCAAAUCCGCUUAUCGUGAAGGCUGAGCUGUGAUGGGGAAGCUCCUUAUGGAGCGAAGUCUUUGAUUCCCCGCUGCCAAGAAAAGCUUCUAGCGAGAUAAAAGGUGCCUGUACCGCAAACCGACACAGGUAGGCGAGGAGAGAAUCCUAAGGUGUGCGAGAGAACUCUGGUUAAGGAACUCGGCAAAAUGACCCCGUAACUUCGGGAGAAGGGGUGCUUUCUUAACGGAAAGCCGCAGUGAAUAGGCCCAAGCGACUGUUUAGCAAAAACACAGCUCUCUGCGAAGCCGUAAGGCGAAGUAUAGGGGGUGACACCUGCCCGGUGCUGGAAGGUUAAGGAGAGGGGUUAGCGUAAGCGAAGCUCUGAACUGAAGCCCCAGUAAACGGCGGCCGUAACUAUAACGGUCCUAAGGUAGCGAAAUUCCUUGUCGGGUAAGUUCCGACCCGCACGAAAGGUGUAACGAUUUGGGCACUGUCUCAACCAGAGACUCGGUGAAAUUAUAGUACCUGUGAAGAUGCAGGUUACCCGCGACAGGACGGAAAGACCCCGUGGAGCUUUACUGUAGCCUGAUAUUGAAUUUUGGUACAGUUUGUACAGGAUAGGCGGGAGCCAUUGAAACCGGAGCGCUAGCUUCGGUGGAGGCGCUGGUGGGAUACCGCCCUGACUGUAUUGAAAUUCUAACCUACGGGUCUUAUCGACCCGGGAGACAGUGUCAGGUGGGCAGUUUGACUGGGGCGGUCGCCUCCUAAAGUGUAACGGAGGCGCCCAAAGGUUCCCUCAGAAUGGUUGGAAAUCAUUCGUAGAGUGCAAAGGCAUAAGGGAGCUUGACUGCGAGACCUACAAGUCGAGCAGGGACGAAAGUCGGGCUUAGUGAUCCGGUGGUUCCGCAUGGAAGGGCCAUCGCUCAACGGAUAAAAGCUACCCCGGGGAUAACAGGCUUAUCUCCCCCAAGAGUCCACAUCGACGGGGAGGUUUGGCACCUCGAUGUCGGCUCAUCGCAUCCUGGGGCUGUAGUCGGUCCCAAGGGUUGGGCUGUUCGCCCAUUAAAGCGGUACGCGAGCUGGGUUCAGAACGUCGUGAGACAGUUCGGUCCCUAUCCGUCGUGGGCGUAGGAAAUUUGAGAGGAGCUGUCCUUAGUACGAGAGGACCGGGAUGGACGCACCGCUGGUGUACCAGUUGUUCUGCCAAGGGCAUAGCUGGGUAGCUAUGUGCGGAAGGGAUAAGUGCUGAAAGCAUCUAAGCAUGAAGCCCCCCUCAAGAUGAGAUUUCCCAUAGCGUAAGCUAGUAAGAUCCCUGAAAGAUGAUCAGGUUGAUAGGUUCGAGGUGGAAGCAUGGUGACAUGUGGAGCUGACGAAUACUAAUAGAUCGAGGACUUAACCAUAUA